AACGCAUAUUGCGCCCAAGACCUCGGUCGAGGGCAUGUCUGCGUCAGCGUCGGUAAAUAUCCAUGCUUCCCUCCAGCUUGUUUGGGGUCGGCCCAGCGCUUGAUUGCCGGGCUUGGAAAGCAGAUCUGGCUUUCCCACUGUCCAAGUGGGUUCGCCGAAAAGCAGAGGCUAAAGCAAGGACCCAACAAGGGCUCAACUGGAUAGGUAGCCGCGGUGCCGCAAGGCGCUGCCUACACGAAGUUGAUGCUUGGGGCUUGACUGGCGGCCAGCAGGAAACGAGCGCGCGUGCCGAUGUCAGCAUCUGCUGACAUGGCCGCCGCCGUCAACGAUUCGACCUGACCUCAGGCAAGAUUACCCGCUGAACUUAA
Molecule: unclassified non-coding RNA, 368 nt
Filed under: uncultured fungus
Lineage: Eukaryota; Fungi
Description: partial contains 5.8S ribosomal RNA, internal transcribed spacer 2, and large subunit ribosomal RNA
Source: RNAcentral